Molecule: ribosomal RNA, 336 nt
Filed under: Triticum aestivum (bread wheat)
Lineage: Eukaryota; Viridiplantae; Streptophyta; Magnoliopsida; Poales; Poaceae
Description: partial small subunit ribosomal RNA
Source: RNAcentral
AUGCUAGGUCGCUCGCCGCUCAGCCAGGGCACGGCGGCUCGCCUCACUCCUCCAUCCACGCCGCCCCACUGCCUCGACGCCGGUGCCGAGGAGGCAAGGAGAAGCUCGUCCUUGGUCCACGCGCGCCGAGGAGGUCGUGAGGGGGGCACCAGAGUUCGCCUGAGACAGUCAUUUUCGUCUCCUCGCCACUGGCAGGUGGUCGUCGAUGUCCGCCAGCCGGCAAGCCAUCGGCUCGUCGCCGGCCGCCCCCCAUACAAAUCUGGCUACUGGAUUCUAUUUGUUCUUCUGAGUAAUUACAAUGGUUGUUUGACUUGGAGUUGGGACUCAAAAGGCUAG